GACGAACGCUGGCGGCGUGCUUAACACAUGCAAGUCGAGCGGUAAGGCCCUUUCGGGGGUACACGAGCGGCGAACGGGUGAGUAACACGUGGGUGACCUGCCCUCAGCUCUGGGAUAAGCCUGGGAAACCGGGUCUAAUACUGGAUAUGACUCCAUGACGCAUGUUGUGGGGUGGAAAGCCUUGUGCGGCUGAGGAUGGGCCCGCGGCCUAUCAGCUUGUUGGUGGGGUGAUGGCCUACCAAGGCGACGACGGGUAGCCGGCCUGAGAGGGCGACCGGCCACACUGGGACUGAGACACGGCCCAGACUCCUACGGGAGGCAGCAGUGGGGAAGUCUUGCGCAAUGGGCGAAAGCCUGACGCAGCGACGCCGCGUGAGGGAUGACGGCCUCGGUUGU
Molecule: ribosomal RNA, 396 nt
Filed under: uncultured bacterium
Lineage: Bacteria
Description: bacterial SSU rRNA
Rfam family: Bacterial small subunit ribosomal RNA
Source: RNAcentral